UGUACAGUCUACUCGUGUAAUCGUGUACCGUACUAUAAACGGUUGCGAUUUUUGUUGAAAGUGUUGUGGUUGUUAUUUUUUGUGUCCUAACUUGUAUCUAACUUUAUUUUAAAAUUUCAAUGUUUUUAACAUAUAUUUAGCGUUAUUUAAGAUUUGAGAAGCAGUAUACAGAAAAUCACUGAUAUUCGAGGAGUUUUCACAUGGUCCAACAAUAUGUAUAGUAUAGACACGCGAUCAGUUUAUCUACACAUAUGAAGGUUGUUUCAAAAUUUGGGACGGUCAUCACUUGCAAGUUUUCUGUACGUUCGCGAAAAUGGCACUCACCAUACACAUAUCUGGACCGAAAAUGAUUAUGCAUAAUAAAACAAUAGCAGACAUGUUUGUAAAUCAAUUUAAUAACAAUCAAGGUCUUUUUAGUAUCGACUGUUCUACCGGUAAAGAGUACAGUUAUCCAAAAUUGAAAAAAGACUUUUAGCAAUGGUUACUGCAUUUAAAAAACAUGAUCUUGGACACGAAGACAUUGUAAUGUUAGUUGGGAUUUUGGUCGAACAACUAUAGCUGCAUUGAAUCACAGUUUAAUAAAAAGUGUCUUGGCAGCGCUUGCUAUUGAAUCCAAGCCGAGCGUAUUGUUUUCUAAUACUUUUAGUAUAAAUAUAAUGACAGACAUUUUAAAUACUAUCACGCAUCAACUGAUAUUGAAGAUUUUUACUAUGAUGCGUGAUGGCGUUACUGCUUAUUCGGAUAUCGUCGAUAUUACUGCGGACUAAACUUUGUUGGUCCGUCCGAUAAAUCAAAAAGCCCGAUUGGUCCAUGUGCUAUUAUUAUAGUAUUCGAGUGGUACUACAGGAACUCUGAAAGGAAUAUAUUUAUCGGACGAUGCUAUGAAAUCGGCAUUAAUAUCGUUCAAGCAAUGAGUGUCUGUAUAAUAUAGUUUAUAGGUCGGUAAAUUAAUUUAAAAAAAAAAAUGUUAAAAUUUACUGUGGUUAGGUAAUUUGGUAUAAUUCUGUCGGGAUUGGCAAAUUGGGUCCCAUAUGACCUUAUCUCGGUAAAUUGGGUCCCGGAAAAAAAAGGUAGUAGGUAAGUUGAGUCCCGGAAAAAAAAUAUAUAAAUUAAAAUAUAUGUGGUUUUUAUAAUAUUAUGUUCUAAAUAAAUAAUAUAUGGUAUAAAUGAGUUUUUAAACUCUCUGCAAAUAAGUUUCGAUGGCAACACCGAUAUCUCUUCUACCGCUUUUCUCUUGAGAUUAUUACUUAUUUUUUGCCGGUUGAUGUCUUGUUUGCUAGGUUUAUUGUGAUUGUGAUCAUUAAAAAUCUCAGUAUCAACACCAUUAUAAGUUUUAAAAAAUAACUUACAUGUACUUUUACAGCAGGUCCAUCUCUGUACUUCAUUUUUCAACAUUCUGAGAAACCUAAACUUAUGACCAUAUUUUAUAAUAACAGUUUUGUUUUUUUCGCUAGUCAUUAUUUCCAUUUUCAAGAUUUAUAAAAAAACAAUAACUGUAAAAUUGUGUAACUGUAUAUAGCUGUAAGACACGAUAUAGUCACAAGUUGACGUUCAGCAGGCUACUAAAAAUAUAAUGAAAUAGCCCAGAUAUCGUACGUGUAUCUGUACGUAAUCACCUUCAAAAUCGAUAAUAACUUCUAACUGAUACGAAUAAUACUAACACUUGUAUACGCUCGUAUACUCGUAUAUAUAUCUAUUAGGUUUAAUCAAAGUUACGAGUUUACGACAUUACGGUAUUUAAUUUUUGGAGAAAAGUGGCUACGGCCAGUGUAAUAAAAUCCGCGAUAAGAAUACCUGUAUUUAGACACAUUAACUGAUGUUAAUGGUAGAAUUAAUGGCCAGGCGGUGUACCACUGUAUGCAAUAUGAAGUAUUAUUGUAACAUAAUUAUUCAAAAGUAAAUUACAUAAGUAUGAAAUAUUUAAGUUUUAAGUUUUUAAUAUUUUAGACCUAAUUGCGCCAAUGAUUUAUAGCCGGGACCCAACUUACCUAUUACCUUUUUAUACCCGGGACUCAACUUACCGCUUUCAAAACGAACCCAAAUUAUCGCGGACCCAAUUUACCUAGCUCCUAUGGUGUAUGGUGUUCACAAUUUAACCUAAUUGUUCUGUUGCCCGGAAUAAAAAUUCUGAUUCGCAGCAGUAUUCUAUCAGGUAGGCAAUCUACCUGCGGUAGAUCGCGGACCCCGUGCUGUUUGUACGUAAGUGUAUGAUUUAACUCUAAAGUAAAAUUUAAAAUCUUCACUCACUGCUUGCAAUAAUAAGUAGGUAGUAAUGCUUUACAAGUAAAAUUAGGUAGGCUACCUAUUAUAAACGUCCAACAGAAAGAAUGAAACGAUUUUACGCAAUAACACUAAAUCAAACACAUUAACACGUACUUAUAUAAGUUUUAGAAUUCCAUACAAAAAAUGUACAUCUAUUUUUAGUCCUACAUUUCUAAGCUAAUUAUAGUACAAAGUUGUUUCUCUCAUGAGCGUUAAUCUUAACAAAUACAGUUUAUAUUAACAUUUAACUUGGAAAUCUAGUUAAAUUCUAAUCAAUAUAACUGUUAAAAUAUAUUAAAUAAUAAGCAGGAAAGAUGUAGAAAAAAGGAAGGAUAAAGGAAUGAUAAAAUAAAUAAAUAGUUUAAUAAAUAAGUAUUGAAAGAACGAAAAGCAAAGAAGAAAAAUAAUUAAAAAGAAAGUAUGAGGAGAAAAAAAGAUGUUCCUAUCUAAUUAUCAAAUUUUAAUAGAAGAAAAAAACUAAAAAGUAUCAAACGCUUUGGGAUUUUUAAAAGCAGCUUAUUGUUUUUCUUUCAGGUAUAUGGAAGACUUGACCCAAAAGUACCACAGUGACAAACAAUCAUGGACGAACACUUUACAGGGUUUGGUCAUAGGAAUGCAAUGUAUCGGUGGUGAAUUGCCGUUAUUAUUUUUUUCCGGUUGGUUGAUUAAACGAAUCGGCCACACGUAUUGCAUGGCCUUAUUAGGUCUUUUCGAUUAUGUUCUUAGGUUCUAAAUUUCAUGGCAACGGAAUAUAAUAAUAUACAGCCAACACAAUUAUAUUAUUAUUAUUAUUAUUUUAUUAUUUUAUUUUAUUACUAUUUAUAAUGAAAUAUUUUAUGUUAUAUCCAACGACCAACUUCAUAACAAUAAUUUUCAAAUUGUAUCGAUUUUGACGCCUUUUUUUUACUUUAGCCGCUUAUAAAAAAAUGUUGUAGCG
This is a long non-coding RNA of Metopolophium dirhodum (rose-grain aphid), 3199 nucleotides long. RefSeq lists it as uncharacterized. The transcript is spliced from 5 exons. The record is from RefSeq and is a predicted model, not a curated record. Lineage: Eukaryota; Metazoa; Arthropoda; Insecta; Hemiptera; Aphididae.